RNAcentral lists this ribosomal RNA (611 nucleotides) under uncultured Cyanidium sp. Its description in RNAcentral is "SSU rRNA". It matches the Rfam family "Bacterial small subunit ribosomal RNA", at positions 151 to 795 of the family's 1533-position model. The record is from RNAcentral. Lineage: Eukaryota; Rhodophyta; Bangiophyceae; Cyanidiales; Cyanidiaceae.
CGGGGACGGGUGCUAAAACCCCAUAUGCCGAGAGGUGAAAAAGAGUUCUGCCUAAGGAAGAGCUCGCGGCUGAUUAGCUAGUUGGCAGAAUAAAAGACUACCAAGGCAACGAUCAGUAGCUGGUUUGAGAGGACGAUCAGCCACACUGGGACUGAGACACGGCCCAGACUCCUACGGGAGGCAGCAGUGGGGAAUCUUCUGCAAUGGGCGAAAGCCUGACAGAGCAAUACCGCGUGAGGGAUAAAAGCCUGAGGGUCGUAAACCUCUUUUUUCAGGGAAGAAAUUUGACGGUACCUGAAGAAUAAGCAUCGGCUAACUCCGUGCCAGCAGCCGCGGUAAUACGGAGGAUGCAAGCGUUAUCCGGAAUCACUGGGCGUAAAGCGUCUGUAGGUGGCUUUUCAAGUCUGCUGUUAAAGACUGAGGCUUAACCUCAGAAAAGCAGUGGAAACUGACAAGCUAGAGCAUGGUAGGGGUAAAGGGAAUUCCCAGUGUAGCGGUGAAAUGCGUAGAUAUUGGGAAGAACACCUGUGGCGAAAGCGCUUUACUGGACCAUUGCUGACACUGAGAGACGAAAGCUAGGGUAGCAAAUGGGAUUAGAUACCCCAGUAGUC